This is a long non-coding RNA of Mustela erminea (ermine), 155 nucleotides long. RefSeq lists it as uncharacterized. The transcript is spliced from 3 exons. Lineage: Eukaryota; Metazoa; Chordata; Mammalia; Carnivora; Mustelidae. The record is from RefSeq and is a predicted model, not a curated record.
GAGAAGAACCAUGUUACCCACAUGAGGGGCGCCUGAACACUGGGCAGUCUCUGCGAGGUGGGCUAUACAUGGAGAAACAGCUCCGAGAAGGCGAACUCCACAAUUAACAAGGUUUGGGACCACAUACUGGAGACCGGAGCUGUGUGCUACACUUC